GACAGAGGGUGCAAACGUUGUUCGGAAUUACUGGGCGUAAAGCGCGUGUAGGCGGCCAUCUAAGUCGGGCGUGAAAUCCCACGGCUCAACCGUGGAAGUGCACUCGAAACUGGAUGGCUAGAGUCCUGGAGAGGAAGGUGGAAUGCUUGGUGUAGAGGUGAAAUUCGUAGAUAUCAAGCGGAACACCGGUGGCGAAGGCGGCCUUCUGGACAGUGACUGACGCUGAGACGCGAAAAGCGGUGGGGAGCAAAC
Molecule: ribosomal RNA, 252 nt
Filed under: uncultured bacterium
Lineage: Bacteria
Description: partial 16S ribosomal RNA
Rfam family: Bacterial small subunit ribosomal RNA
Source: RNAcentral